RNAcentral lists this ribosomal RNA (467 nucleotides) under uncultured bacterium. RNAcentral describes it as "partial 16S ribosomal RNA". It matches the Rfam family "Bacterial small subunit ribosomal RNA", at positions 28 to 507 of the family's 1533-position model. The record is from RNAcentral.
GACGAACGCUGGCGGCGUGCUUAACACAUGCAAGUCGAACGGAAAGGCCUCUUUCGGGGGGUACUCGAGUGGCGAACGGUUGAGUAACACGUGAGUAACCUGCCCUUGACUUUGGGAUAACUUCAGGAAACUGGGGCUAAUACCGGAUAGGAGCUCCUGCUGCAUGGUGGGGGUUGGAAAGUUUCGGCGGUUGGGGAUGGACUCGCGGCUUAUCAGCUUGUUGGUGGGGUAGUGGCUUACCAAGGCUUUGACGGGUAGCCGGCCUGAGAGGGUGACCGGCCACAUUGGGACUGAGAUACGGCCCAGACUCCUACGGGAGGCAGCAGUGGGGAAUAUUGCACAAUGGGUGGAAGCCUGAUGCAGCAACGCCGUGUGCGGGAUGACGGCCUUCGGGUUGUAAACCGCUUUCGCUCAUGACGAAGCUUUGUGUGACGGUAGUGGGUAAAGAAGCACCGGCUAACUACGUG